Long non-coding RNA from Heterocephalus glaber (naked mole-rat), 737 nucleotides. The record is from Ensembl. NCBI's taxonomy places the organism in Eukaryota, Metazoa, Chordata, Mammalia, Rodentia, Bathyergidae.
GAAAGGGGGAGGUGCCGGCGGACAAUGGAGCCUAUGUGUGCCUGCGGGAGUGGGACGGCGCCGCCGCCGCCGCCGCCGCCGGGGGGAGACGCUGCGCCACCGCUGCCUCUGGCCCCGGCCCCGGCCCCCCGGGGCUGAGAGCCGCCCCGCACCGGAGCCCCCUCCCCUCCGCCGCCCCUCCUCUCCCCUCCCCCACGCCUGCCUCCGGGGACUGAAUUGUGAGAUUAGUUGGUAUCACUCCAGCUUGACCUAAAAACACCCUUCUGAUUGGGUGGCCCAGAUCAUUCUUGGAAAGCUCUUCUGUGUCCUGAUGUAGAAGAGAGAGCAAAUUGGACAUCGUGAAAGGUGAGGGUCGCCGUUGAGAAGGGCUUCCUGGACUCCUCACCUCCAGGAUGAGCACUGCAGUGUCGUGACCCGUGGGGUUUUGGUGAGUAGGCCGAUGGGUGAUGGAGUGGAACUCACGUCUGGCUUAGAAAGAUGAUCUUGGGGAAAAGCUUUCCAUUUUAUUCAGUAGAUUUUUGUUUUGCCUUCUGUCACCCAGCUCCCCCCUCUUCAUCCCAUAGCUCCUGAUAACCACCAUUCUCCUGCCUAAUUCUGAGUUCAACUUUCUAGAUUCUGCAUAUAAGUAAGCUCAUGUGAUGCUGGCUUUCUGUGCCAGGCUUACUUUAUUUAACAUAAUAUCUUCUAGGUUCAUCUGUGUUGUUGAAAAUGAUAGAUUUCAUUCUUUUUUUUAAGGC